CUUAUGUAGUUCUUACAUUGUAGGUGAACAUGGAACUACAUAGAGAGCAUGGCUAGCUGUGGAGCUCCUACAGGAUUCCAGAGUUCGAUGUACAUGGAUGACGACCUGUAGGGUUAUUUUGUAGGCUGCCAUCUGUUGGGUUAUAUUUUGGAAUCCUAUAUAGUGUACUUUUGAAAUGGCCUGUAGACAUGUUUAUAAGCUCUGAAUAUAUAUGUUGGAUUAUGG
RNAcentral lists this long non-coding RNA (225 nucleotides) under Olea europaea subsp. europaea. Lineage: Eukaryota; Viridiplantae; Streptophyta; Magnoliopsida; Lamiales; Oleaceae. The record is from RNAcentral.